RNAcentral lists this ribosomal RNA (468 nucleotides) under uncultured bacterium. RNAcentral's name for it is "partial 16S ribosomal RNA". It matches the Rfam family "Bacterial small subunit ribosomal RNA", at positions 28 to 507 of the family's 1533-position model. The record is from RNAcentral.
GACGAACGCUGGCGGCGUGCUUAACACAUGCAAGUCGAACGGAAAGGCCAUGAUUUUGUGGGUUGGUCGAGUGGCGAAGGGGUGUGUAAAACGUGAGUAACCUGCCCUUGACAUACGGAUAACUUCAGGGAACAGGGGCUAAAACAGGAUAGGAGCUCCUGCUGCAUAGUGGUGGUAGGAAAGAUUCGGCGGUGUGGUAUGGACUCGCUGCUUAUAAGCUUGUUUGGGAAGUAGUGGCUUAACAAGUCUGUGACGGGUAGCCGACAUGCGAGGGUGACCGGCCACAAGACUACUGAGCUACGGCCCAGACUCCUACCGGAGGCAGUAGGCGAGAACCUUGCACAACAGGCCCACGCGUGUUGCAACAACCCCGCGUGCGGAAUAACGGCCUUCUGGUUGUGAACCGCUUUGUCCUGUGACGAAGCGAGAGUGACGGUACUUGGUAAAGAAGCACCGGCUAACUACGUG